RNAcentral lists this long non-coding RNA (2391 nucleotides) under Amborella trichopoda. RNAcentral's name for it is "long non-coding RNA (ATRI_LNC004169)". Lineage: Eukaryota; Viridiplantae; Streptophyta; Magnoliopsida; Amborellales; Amborellaceae. The record is from RNAcentral.
AAGAGUGGAACCCCUGACCCGGUCAUGUCAUGUUUGUGCCAAGUACAACCCGUUCAUCCAUCAUUUAAAAUAAUUAAUUGCAUGGUGAUGAAGCUUGUGACCACACAAAAUUACGUACUUCUAUGGAUAUAGAAAGGAACAACCUCCAGUACAGACAGACUGACUGGUUUUCCCCUCUCUAGGGACUCCAUCGGGAAAGAGUUGGACAUGGGUACAGAGAGAGAGAUUGCAGAUGAUUGGAGGUUGCAAAGAUUCAUUUCUCAAUCUUUCUCAUCUUCCUUCCCAUUUGUUUGUGCUGGAUCUGGUUUUAAACCCUCACUGUUGCACCCCUUUACAUUGGACGAUGGUCAUGGACCUGGAUCUUCGGCAAUAUGAGUAUCUGGUGAUAUUUUCCCUUCUUUAAUCGGGGUUUAAUUGCUCUUUUUUCACAUUACUAAGAUAUCUGGGUCUAUGGGGGCCAUAUGUAUAUAUACGAUCAUCUUAUACUUUCGGUGAUUCAAUUUUUUAAUCCAUUGAUGUCUACUGUAUGAAUUGUUUUUUUUUUUUCAUUUCUUUUCAAUGGAGUUUGGUUCUCCCUCUACCAUUAUAUGAUAUAGUUAGUGGACUUGAGGGUGUAUAAGGGAUCCUAGUCUCAGAUAUAUUUUUUUUUUUGUUGGGGAUGGAUUAGUCUUUGGAUGGAUUAGUCUUUUUUCCAAAUCUUAUGUUGGCUUAUUCUAAUUACGUCCAUGCUUGCAUAAAAGUGCGGAGCAAUAUUGCAAACGUUAAGGUUACAAGAUCCUUCGGAGCUGUCAAAGUUACAAUAAAGGGAAAGCUUGACAUGUGACCCCACCCACAUAUAAAGUAUGUGAUCUUCCUCUCAGCUAUAUGAUUCGAGUAGAGUUGGCUCUUGGGUGUUAGAUGUUAAUAUGAUGUCUCAUAUUAUUUUUAUUUUAAAUAUUUAUUAGGGCCAUUUUAAAAUAUUGGGAAAAUUUUGUAUAGAACUCUAAUUUCUCUUAUUAUUUCAUGGUAGAUCCUCUUUCUGUUUUUCUUUCAAGCGGCAUACUAAAGAUUUCAUCAUACCCCUUCAUCUCUUAUCUCCUUCUAUUAUUGACUUUUGAUCAUAAAAAUUAGCCCCAACAAAUAUUUUUAUACUAUUUCAAUCCAAAAACUUUUUAAUUGGUAGAAAGGGAAAAGAGGGUUAAAAUUUUUUUGAGAUUAAAUGGUAUAAAAAUAUUUGUUGGAGCUAAUUUUUAUGGUAAAAAGUAAAUAAAAUAGGGAGAUAAGAGAUGAAGAGGUAUUGUAAAAUAUUUAGAGAUUUUCUUAUGCCGCUUGAAAGAAAAAAAUAAAGAGGGUCUGUUAUGAAAUAAUAUGAGGAAUUAGGGUUCUAUACGAAAUUUUCCCUUAAAUAUUUAGUAGUACCAUCAUGUAAAAGCCAGAUAAGCUGCAAGGUUAUCCCAGGAGGUAGAUCGACUAUCAUGUAAAGAUGAUGCAUGGUUCCCCACUCAUGUAAAGACUGCAAGGUUCCCCGCUAUGCACUCUACUAUUUAGCGGUCCAUUGUAACUUGGGCUUAUGCUUCUCUUAAGACUGCAAGGUUCCCCACUUUGCGCUUUGCUAUUCUACGGUCGAUUGUAACUUGGGCUUAUGCUUCUCUUCUGUUGACUGUGGUUCCUAAACUACUCUUCGUUUCUCAUGUCAAAUACUUUCUGGUUCUUAGGAACAAUCGUUCCAUGAUUCGUUGGGUAUGAAGGAAACCACCAGAACGCUGGUUCAAACUCAAUUUUGAUGGAAGUGUGAGGGAAGCACGGUUUGGUUUUUAUGGCCUCUUUCAAGAUGAUAUUUGUUAUAUGAGCUGAUCUUACUCUGGUAGCCUCCAUCCUUACGAGAUCAAUGAAACUAAGCUUUGGGCCCUUAAGAUGGGUAUGUCCCGCGUAGACCAAAUGCAUUAGAAAGUGAUUAUUGAAAGAGAUUGCUAAUGUUAUCUCGUGGUGUAUCUAGUCAGAUCUUGUUCCUUGGAGGCUUAGUGCGGUCACAGAUGAACUUCUUUUGACUCUGAGGGACCAUGAUCUCUCCUUUCUUCAUGUUCAUCGUGGUUCUAACAUUGACGCAUAAUCUUUAGCUAAGCUGACUGCUAUUCAUCUCUCUUCAUCUUAGCUUUUACUUAGAUGCCUUCUUCUCUUCUUUCCUUUUCUCUCUCUUUUUGUAUGCUUUUUUCUUUUCGCUUUCUUUUCUUAUUGUAAUCCUUCAUUAUCUUAAUGAAUAUCGCACUUACUCAAAAUAAAAAAAAGAUUGCAACGUUAUUUCAUGAGAGAGUUGACUACCCAACAUAGUGAUGCAAAUAAAAAUUAGAGUUUAUUUUUCUUUCUUUUUUUAAUUAGGGAUAGGAAGAGAUAAGUUUAGAGGGCCUGAUUGAG